Long non-coding RNA from Malaya genurostris, 821 nucleotides. RefSeq lists it as uncharacterized. The transcript has 2 exons. Lineage: Eukaryota; Metazoa; Arthropoda; Insecta; Diptera; Culicidae. The record is from RefSeq and is a predicted model, not a curated record.
UUCCGGUUUUAAACGCAUUCAACUAGGCAGACCAUCCCAAAUUGUAACCAUUGGGCAUAAGUUGUGUUACCCUGCUAGUGAUAAGUUAAUGAGCACAGAGUAACUCUCCAGAAAGUGAAGAAUUAAAGAUUGUGCCCUUUUUUGCUUCCCUUUCUGUGAAUCCCUCGAAGAUAAUACAAUUUACCCUCGGUACUGUCACCAACAGUUGAAUGAGCGACGAUGGAACUCGCCUGUGCAGACUCGUAAGGCGACCUCGUGACGACGACGUACUGAAACUGAGCAGAAAAAAUAGCAGAAUCGAUGACGCCUUAGUAGGUAGUAAACGAGUAAUAAAACAUGACAAAAAUAAACAUAACAUUGUCUACCCAGUUAGCUACAUAAAUUGGAGUGAAAUCUAAGGGUGAAAUGGAAAUAGGUGUAUUCGCUUCCAGUUCGCGGUGUCGCGGUAACAGAAAUGUUGUACAAUUCACAAACUAUAUUUUACUGCGAUGUUGCUGCUCAGAGUCGAAGUGAAGAUAUUGUUUUCUAUGUAAUCCGCAAGUUAACGAUGUUGUUGCCCGAACUUCAACAAUUGCAUCGAAGUGUCAGAAUGGUAACAACGGUAACGGAUUCACCGACCGACUCGGCAUUAUUAGUAUCGAAUGCGAUCAUCGGAUUCUACACCAUCGCACGAGUAUCAGCACACUGCAGAUCGUCAACAGGUGAAGGCAGGGUAAUUGUAAAGCAGGUUAAUUUCGAAUAAAGCAGUCUUAUUUCAGUAGCCGAAGUGUGCAGAAGUAAAGAAAAAGUUAUGUCGCAGAAUAACAUGGCGACUCCACAAA